This 430-nucleotide ribosomal RNA is filed under the name Sphingomonas sp. RNAcentral's name for it is "bacterial SSU rRNA". It matches the Rfam family "Bacterial small subunit ribosomal RNA", at positions 1049 to 1479 of the family's 1533-position model. The record is from RNAcentral. Lineage: Bacteria; Pseudomonadati; Pseudomonadota; Alphaproteobacteria; Sphingomonadales; Sphingomonadaceae.
CUGUCGUCAGUUCGUUUCGUGAGAUGUUGGGUUAAGUCACGCAACGAGCGCAACCCUCGCCUUUAGUUACCAUCAUUUAGUUGGGUACUCUAAAGGAACCGCCGGUGAUAAGCCGGAGGAAGGUGGGGAUGACGUCAAGUCCUCAUGGCCCUUACGCGCUGGGCUACACACGUGCUACAAUGGCAACUACAGUGGGCAGCGACCCUGCGAGGGCGAGCUAAUCCCCAAAAGUUGUCUCAGUUCGGAUUGUUCUCUGCAACUCGAGAGCAUGAAGGCGGAAUCGCUAGUAAUCGCGGAUCAGCAUGCCGCGGUGAAUACGUUCCCAGGCCUUGUACACACCGCCCGUCACACCAUGGGAGUUGGAUUCACCCGAAGGCGUUGCGCCAACCCGCAAGGGAAGCAGGCGACCACGGUGGGUUCAGCGACUGGG